RNAcentral lists this long non-coding RNA (1578 nucleotides) under Felis catus (domestic cat). RNAcentral describes it as "lncRNA (ENSFCAG00000049065.1)". The record is from RNAcentral. Lineage: Eukaryota; Metazoa; Chordata; Mammalia; Carnivora; Felidae.
AUGGAAAAAGACAUUCUAACUCACAUUGAGCCUCCGAUGACCCAGGCAUGCGACAGGGACCCGGCCACGGCGGCAGCACCUGCAAGAGCCCCGCCUGGGCUUCAGACUCCGCUUGAAGGUGCUGUGUCCGCCGCAAGUAGUGGGGUACAUGUGGGACAGGAAAGCAUGGAGCCAGGAGAGUACGAUGAGGUGGAAAAAAUGUCUGUUCUUAGUUUGGGGCUGAGCGCUGAGGCUGAUGCCCCACACGCAGGUGAGGUUCCGGGUCACGCUGCGUUGCAGGGGACCAGCAGCCAGGGCAACACAGGGAAGAAAACCAGCCGGAAAAGGAGGAAUAGAAAGGAAAACAAGGUUGUAUAUCUCCCCUGGCCUCUGACGCUACAGACCCGGGCGUCUUCUGCAGCCCCAGUUCUGGGCCAGACUUGUGUCACAGGGGCUCUGCCGAUUGCUGAUACUGGAGUCGGCGCGGUGUAUGAAAACAGGGAGGAAGGGGAGUGGGAUGACAAGGAGAAGGUACCCGUUGCCACCUGGCCUGAGAAGGCACAUGCUGGCACCCCACUGCCAGCAGAAAGCGCAGCUCAGGCCUCUCUUGAGGAGGCGUCAGUGGCAGCCAAUGAGGAGAUAAAAGGAGACCAGACAGGCAGUCAUAAAGGGAGAAAUAAAAAGAACAAAAAGGUCAUGGCCAGUCCUUGGCCUCUGACAGUACAGGCUUGGGUGUCAUUCACAGGCCCAGGCCAGAUGCAGGUGGCUACAGCAGGGGCAUCGUCAUUUGCUAGGGAUGGUGUCAACGCGGGGCCUAAAAGCAAGGGUCAGAAGGGUGAGGCGAAUAAAACGUCAGCUGGCACUCCGUACCAGAGUGCACAGGACGGUGCCCCCCGCUCGGCUGAGGGUCUGGGGCAGGCCUCGUGGGAGGGGGCAUCCCCCCCUGCUGACAGCCCAGAAAAUGAGAAGAGAGCCGCCUAUAAAAGAAGGAAUAGAAAGGAGAGAAGCGUCUCGGCUGGUCCUUGGCCUCUGACAGUACAAGCCUGGGCAUCAUUUGCAACAGCAGACCAGGUGCAGACUCGCCCCCAGGGCGAGCCUUCUGUUGCAAGUAUGGGGGUGAAUGUGGGGCCAAGGAACUGGCCCCAAACAGAGUAUAGUGAGGAGGGAGCACAGGCCGCUCUUCCUUGGCCUGAGAGGGUCCAGGCUGGUGCCCUCUUCCCGGCAACAGCCCCGGGACAGGCUUUACUGCAGGGGCAUCCUUCCCAAGACCUACAUUCCAAGGUGAGACAAAUGUGUUGGAGACCCCAAGGGAGAGAGGGGGAACUGGUUCCGAGCAAUCCAGAGCAAGUUCGGGAACCCUGUCAUGGGUGUAGAAGAACCGAGAGACACCUGAGGGACCAGGACUUCUGGGAAUGCACGGUGAUGAAUUUUGCUAGGCAGGUGGAUUGUUGCUAUUGUGGGGAGCUCUGCUCACAACAGCGGAUGGAGGCUUUGACCCUGACCAAAGCCCACACCCACAUCAGCACUUCAGUGAUGGGACCAGAGAGGGAGAGGGCUAAAUCUCAGGCAGUCUGGAUGGAGAAAUGGGGAGGUUUUUGA